This is a long non-coding RNA of Equus caballus (horse), 4918 nucleotides long. NCBI's taxonomy places the organism in Eukaryota, Metazoa, Chordata, Mammalia, Perissodactyla, Equidae. The record is from Ensembl.
GGAUUUCUAACUUCAUUCACGGCUGUCACCACAGUCUUUCAGUUCUCAUUUAAGUUUUGGGCCCAGGGUAGACCCAGAGCCUUCCUGAGCCCAGCUGACAUGGGCUAGGAUCUAGGAAAAUUAAGGGGGAUGGAAAGUAAACCCCAGGAAGCUUCAGUGCAGCCAGGCUUCCUCGGGGCCCCGGGUCCUGCCUGGUCUGCCUUUGACCUCCUUCUCAUCCUUCCCAGGGUGAUUCAGUCUUCUGUGUAGCCCUCUCUGCCCUUGCAGGAUUUGCACAGCCCCUGGAAGCAGUCACAGCGGUGGGGGCCCGCCCCACCCUGGAGUGAGCACAUCCUCCCACCAGCCCUCACUCCCCUAGGCCUGAACUCAUGCCUCUGUGGUCGAAGGCACGUUUGUCACCUGAGCGGACAAGUGGAAGGUCGGAAUGGGACCUGCAGAAAAAGCGACCAUGAAUUUGAAAAUGCCCUCUACUGCUUUCCCCGACCAGUUGAGCUGAAGGUGGGGAGGCGGUGAAGGAUGGAGUGGGGCGUUUCAGUUCUAUAAAAUUUCUUUUAUUAAUUCACAACAGCAAGUUAAAAUAUCUAAAAUGAAGGAUAAUUCGUUUUCUAAGAACAUGACCUAACAGGAUGCAAAAUGUCACUCGUAUGUCACGACAUACUCAAGUUGGCCUCAGCAAAAUGUUAUUCUAGCUCCCGUACCCAACCAGACUUGUCUGGAGUAAGGACAUGUGUGUCUAGGGAGCUCUUUGACACGGACUGGAAAUAUUAUUAAAAUCCAUGGCACACAGAAUUGUCGCAUUCUCUUUAAUGGUUCCAUGCAAAGCCAUGCAACAAAAUGAGUGAAACCCUAGAGGGAGGCCCUCAAAGAAGGGAUGGGACAGGUCGUGAUGAUCCUCACAGAGAGAGAGGCAGAACAGCAGAAGAAAACAGCGAGGGCUGCUGAGACCUCCCUCCCCAGCCUCUGUGGGCCCGUUUCCCCCGCAGGCCCUCCGUGUCCGGUCAAUAUACCAGUCAGUGUCCCUUAGAGCCAGUCAGUCCUCAUUCCCUGCUAUAACCCACCUGCGCCUGUCCCCAUCCGUGGUUGCUUGUGCCCUGUCUCCUGUGCUCCACUCUUCUCUGGAGCAGCAAGACGUGUCCCCUAGGCCACCUUCAUCUCCCUGCAGGGUCCUAGGCCCCGUUAGUCUCUGGUGAUGGGGCAGCCGCUGAGUCAGUGAGCAGCCUUGUUCACAACAUUCUGAUAUAGGAGGACGAUGUGUGAGCAAAUUAUAAGUCACUUAUGCAAAGAUACAGCUGGUGGCGGAUCUCCCCGACUCCAAAGCUAGGACCAGUGCAUCAUUGUCUUUCACUCCUUUUUGCAGGUAAUUGGGGCUGGGAACACAUUACCGUAUGCAUCAGAGGUAGGUCCACCGUCACUGACAAGACGCAUUGCUCCCAAACUUGCAUAGGUUACACCUGUAGCUUGUACUAGUUAGGCCUGGAGAUAGUUGUCUCUGCUCACACUAACCCUUUCCUAUGUAGCAUUUUCUUAUUACUUCUCAGCUCCAUUGGCAGCCUCCCGCAUGGGAGCACGGUGAGGGGUCUGCACAGACUGGUUGGUCCUUAUCUGGGUCCCACUGCAUUAAUAGGGCUGUGUGCUGUGGGAUGUCAGCUCUUCAUGGCUUAGCCAGACCUUCAUGCCUGGCGUGAAGGAAUGCAUCAUGCAACUGCAUAGACUGGAAAAGUGUGGUUCAGUGAUGCUAGAGGCCAGAACAGGUGAGUCUCAGGGCUCUGCCCCAAUACCCUUUGGUCACAGACUUGAGGAGUCCCCUGAUUUGUUCAGCUACAGCCCUGCUGCCUCUGAUUCUUGGACGAGCUGAAGAACAGUCCACCCAGUUCUGCUUGUUCUGAGCCAAGGAGGGAGCCCGCAGCCUUUAAUUAUACCACUUAUUUAUGGUUUCCUUAACACUAAGCUUUCCCUCCGGUUUGGGGUGAGUGGGAGAAGUCUGCCUGAGUCCAGUUGCCCAGCUGUCAUCUCGCAGGGCCCAUGAGAGCUGCUCCCCAGGGGAGCACACACACAACUGCACGUUGUAAAGAGAUAGGAGAGCAGAAGGAACCCAAAGCCAGCAUCCUGGUGAAAAUCAGGUCCGUAGUCACCCGUUUUGCACAGAGAAAUACAAUUCUUCCCACAACUGUUUUUCUCUUACCAAUAUUUAAUUUUCUGUAGCUGGUGGCCAGACCUCCCGAUUGCUUUCCUAACAGCUUCUGACUGCAAAUGAAGUCAUUCGACCAAUGAUGAUUUUUCUUCUCCUGGGAAAAUGGUAAUUUUUCCUUGUUUUCUUUUUUUUUUUGAGGAAGAUUAGCCCUGAGCUAACUACUGCCAAUCCCCCUCUUUUUGCUGAGGAAGACUGGCCCUGAGCUAACAUCCAUGCCCAUCUUCCUCUACUUUAUAUGUGGGACGCCUGCCACAGCAUGGCUUUUGCCAAGCGGUGCCAUGUCCACACCCGGGAUCCGAACUGGUGAACCCUGGGCCACCAAAGGGGAACGUGCACACUUAAUCACUGCACCACUGGGCCGGCCCCUCCUUCUUUUCUGAACAGGCUCCCGAUACCUAACCAUUUUGUUUUUCUGCCACUUGAGACUUGUAAGUCAAAUGGGACAAGUGCCUUUGCACCAUGUGCAUUCAAGGUCUGAUUCUCUGCCGGGCCUGAGAGGAGGGAAGAGCCUUGUGCACAGAGUAAGAUGAGCUGUGCAGAUCAGGGCUGGGGGGGGCUCUGUGCCGUGGGAUUUUGCCCGGGGGAGGUGAGAGCGAGGAACAGAGCCUCCCCUUCUGCCUGGAGUGGGCAAGAAGACACAACACUCUUUUUAGCCCCUUUAAUCCACGUUGCCUGUAUGUUCUCACUCGUUUUUGAGUUUUCCCAACAAGCAAGAGUAUUUUGCCCAGUUUCCCUCAGUUCUUUGUAUUAUUUGCAGAUUGGAUGUCUUUUGAACAAAGUAUCAUUCCUUUGCCUGUUCUGUUCCCCCAGACUUGACACUCACUGGUAGGGAGAUAAAGUAGGCUGGUUUUCCAAAACUGGGUGGCCUCAUUUUACUCUUUUCUUUAAAAAAAACAUUAUUGAGGCAUUAUUUACACAUCACAUAAUUCACCCAUUCCAAGCGUACAUACCAUUCGAUGGUUUUUUUAGUUAAAUGUAGCAGGUCAUGCAGCCCUCAGCGUGAAUCUGUUUUAGAACAUUUCCAUCACCCCAGUAAGGUCCCACAUGCUCAUUUAAUGGUAAUCUCUGCCCCGCCAACUGUUACAGGUAUCACUCCUCUACUUUCUGUCUCUCUAAAUGUGCCUUUUCUGGACUUUGUAUAUACAUGAAAUCAUACACGAUGUAGUCUCUUGUGAAUAGUUUCUUCCACUUAGCAUAUUGUUUUGAGGUUCAUCCAAGUCAUAGCAUGAAUCAGUUAAUUCCUGUUUAUUGCUGAAUAAUAUUUCAUUGUAUGGACGUACCACAGUCUGUCUAUCCAUUCGCAUUGAUAGACAUUUGCAUUGUUUCCAACUUCUGGCUCUUAUGAAGAAUGCUGCUGACAACAUUCAUGUGUAAGUCUUUGUAUGGACAUAGGUUUUUAUUUCUCUUGGGUAGAUACCUUAGAGUGGAAUUGCUGGGCCCUCUGACAAAUUUGCGUUUAACUUUCUAAGAAACUGCCAAGUUGUUUUCCAAAGUUGCUGCACCAUUUUAUCCACCUAUCAGCGACGGAGGCUGGUUCCCAUUUCUCCACAUCCUUCAUGACACCUGUUAUGUCCAUCUUUUUUAUUAUAGCCAUUCUGCAGGGUGUGAAAUGAUAUCUCAUUGUGGUUUUGCUUCGUAGUUUCCUCAUAACUAACAUGCCAAGUAUCUUUUCAUGUGCUUAUUCACCAUUUAUAGAUCUUUGGAGAAAUAGCCAUUCAAAUCUUUUGUCCAUUUUUGUGGUGGGCUUGCUUCUCUUCUUUUUAUUGAGCUAUAAGGAUGCUUUUUAUAGUCUAGAUAUAAGUCAUUUCCCAGAUGGGGGUUUUGCAGAUAUUUUCUCCCAGUCUGUUGCUUGUCUUCAUUUUAUUAAUGUCUUUGAAAGUGCAAAAGUUUUCAAUUUUGAUGAGCUCAACUUUAUCAUAUUUUUUUAAUGUACUAUGCUUUUGGUGUCAUAUCUAAGAAAUCUUUGCCUAACCCAAGGUCUUGAAGACCCAACGUCUUCCCCUAUGUUGUCUUCUAGAAGUUUUCUUGCUUUAGCUUACAUUUAAAUCUGUGAUCCAUUUUGAGUUAAUUUUUGUGUAGGGUGAGAGUUGAGGGUUUAAGUUCAUCUUUUUUGCAGGUACAUGUCCAGUUGUCCCAGCACCGUUUGUUAAAAAGGCCCUCCUUUACCCAGUAGGUUGUCUUGGCACCUUUGUUGAAAAUAAAUUGACCGUAAAUGUAAGAAUUUUUUUCUAGACAGUCACUUCUGCUGGAUUCGUAUGUCUGUCCUUAUGCCAGAACCACACUGUCUUCAUCACUGUAGUUUAUAGCAAGUUUUGAAAUUAGUAAGUUAAAGUCCUCCAACUUUGUUCUUUUUCAGAAUUAUUCUGGCUAUUUGUUGUAUUUAAAAUUCUUAUAAAUUUUAGGAUCAUUUUGUCAAGUUCUGCAAAAAAGCAUGCUGGAGCUUUGAUAGGGAUUGCACGAAAUCUGUUCAGUUUGGGGAGAAUAGUCAUCAUAACAACACUAAGUGUUCCAGUCCACGAACAUGAAAUAUCCCUUCAGCUAUUUAGACCUUUAAUUUCCCUCAGCAGUGUUUCAUAAUUUCCAGUGUAAGUGUAAUGUUUCUUUUGUUAAAUGUAUUCCUCAGUGUUUUAUUCUUUCUGAUGCUAUUGUGAAAGGAAUUGUAUUCUUAAUUUUUUUUUUUGCGUUGUUCAUUGCUCCUAUAUAGAAAUACAAUUGAUGUUUGUAUAU